CACAAGCUCACAGUCGUGUACACACACACGCACACACACGCACACACACACGCACGCACCAGUGCUCGCACACCGUGGGAAGAGAGCAGCGCACUAAGAAGUCUGGUCGCCCUCUCGGGACACCAAAGCGUUAGCUCUGUGGACAAGGAAGCACCGAGAUAGUCCGCAUCAGCGUGGAGAGGACACCUCAGCUGGGGACAGAUCGGAGACGCCUGCUCUAUCGGAUAGAGCUGGUGGUUGAGCGGUGUCUCCAGCUGUCAUCCACUCUUGGCCCCUGGGGUUUACACCUUCCUAAACCCAGAAACGUGGUUAAGAAUCCGACUGCCGAUGCAGGGGACAUGGGUUCAAGCCCUGGUCCAGGAAGAUCCCACAUGCCGUGGAGCAACUAAGCCUGCGCGUCGCAACUACUGAGCCUGCGCUCUAGAGCCCACGAGCCACAACUACUGAAGCCCGCAUGCCUAGAGCCCAUGCUCCACAACAAGAGAAGCCACUGCAAUGAGAAGCCCACGCACCACAAUGAAGAGUCACCCCCGCUCGCCGCAACUAGAGAAAGCCUGUGUACAGCAACGAAGACCCAACACAGCCAAAAAUAAAUUUUAAAAAACAAUAAAAAUCUCUCUUGUAUCUGAUUUAAACAAUUUCUGUUCUCCUCUCUUUAUUUUCUUAAAUUGCCCAAUCUAAUCACCCACUUAAUGUUUUCUUUAAUGGAACCCACAUUCCUUU
Long non-coding RNA from Orcinus orca (killer whale), 723 nucleotides. RefSeq lists it as uncharacterized. The record is from RefSeq and is a predicted model, not a curated record. The transcript has 3 exons. Lineage: Eukaryota; Metazoa; Chordata; Mammalia; Artiodactyla; Delphinidae.